Molecule: non-coding RNA, 65 nt
Organism: Apis laboriosa (Himalayan honeybee)
Lineage: Eukaryota; Metazoa; Arthropoda; Insecta; Hymenoptera; Apidae
Source: the annotation of a RefSeq genome assembly
AUUUAUAUAGUUUAAAAAAAAACAUUAUAUUUUCAAUAUAAAAUUAAUUUAUAAAUUUAUAAAUA